Molecule: ribosomal RNA, 257 nt
Filed under: uncultured bacterium
Lineage: Bacteria
Description: partial 16S ribosomal RNA
Rfam family: Bacterial small subunit ribosomal RNA
Source: RNAcentral
UACGGAGGGUGCAAGCGUUAUCCGGAUUCACUGGUUAAGGUGCGUAGGAGGGCAGGUAAGUCAGUGGUGAAAUCUCCGAGCUUAACUUGGAACUGCCGUUGAUACUAUCUGUCUUGAAUAUUGUGGAGGUGAGCGGAAUAUGUCAUGUAGCGGUGAAAUGCUUAGAUAUGACAUAGAACACCAAUUGCGAAGGCAGCUCGCUACACAUAUAUUGACUCUGAGGCACGAAAGCGUGGGGAGUCAAACAGGAAUUAAGA